Molecule: ribosomal RNA, 501 nt
Filed under: uncultured bacterium
Lineage: Bacteria
Description: partial 16S ribosomal RNA
Rfam family: Bacterial small subunit ribosomal RNA
Source: RNAcentral
AUUGAACGCUGGCGGCAUGCCUUACACAUGCAAGUCGAACGGCAGCACGGGUGCUUGCACCUGGUGGCGAGUGGCGAACGGGUGAGUAAUACAUCGGAACGUACCUUAUCGUGGGGGAUAACGCAGCGAAAGCUGUGCUAAUACCGCAUACGCCCUGAGGGGGAAAGCGGGGGAUCGAAAGACCUCGCGCGAUUAGAGCGGCCGAUGCCUGAUUAGCUUGUUGGUGGGGUAAAAGCCCACCAAGGCGACGAUCAGUAGCUGGUCUGAGAGGACGAGCAGCCACACCGGGACUGAGACACGGCCCAGACUCCUACGAGAGGGAGCAGUGGGGAAUUUUGGACAAUGGGGGCAACCCUGAGCCAGCAAUGCCGCGUGGGUGAAGAAGGCCUUCGGGUUGUAAAGCUCUUUUGUCAGGGAAGAAACACCGGCUCUAACACAGUCCGGGAAUGACGGUACCUGAAGAAUAAGCACCGGCUAACUACGUGCCAGCCGCCGCGGUAA